GACGAACGCUGGCGGCGUGCUUAACACAUGCAAGUCGAGCGGUAAGGCCCUUUCGGGGGUACGACGAGCGGCGAACGGGUGAGUAACACGUGGGUGACCUGCCCUCAGCUCUGGGAGUAAGCCCGGGAAACUGGGUCUAAUACCGGAUAUGACUCCAUGACGCAUGUUGUGGGGUGGAAAGCCUUGUGCGGCUGAGGAUGGGCCCGCGGCCUAUCAGCUUGUUGGUGGGGUGAGGCCUACCAAGGCGACGACGGGUAGCCGGCCUGAGAGGGCGGACCGGCCACACUGGGACUGAGAUACGGCCCAGACUCCUACGGGAGGCAGCAGUGGGGAAGUCUUGCGCAAUGGGCGAAAAGCCUGACGCAGCGACGCCGCGUGAGGGAUGACGGCC
This 391-nucleotide ribosomal RNA is filed under the name uncultured bacterium. RNAcentral describes it as "bacterial SSU rRNA". It matches the Rfam family "Bacterial small subunit ribosomal RNA", at positions 28 to 416 of the family's 1533-position model. The record is from RNAcentral.